GGGACUGUAGCUUAGUGGUAGAGUGCUUGCCUUACAGGCAAGAAACCCCAGGUUCUAUUCCUCAGUACCA
RNAcentral lists this transfer RNA (70 nucleotides) under Dipodomys ordii (Ord's kangaroo rat). It matches the Rfam family "tRNA". From Rfam's summary of the family: Transfer RNA (tRNA) molecules are approximately 80 nucleotides in length. Their secondary structure includes four short double-helical elements and three loops (D, anti-codon, and T loops). Further hydrogen bonds mediate the characteristic L-shaped molecular structure. tRNAs have two regions of fundamental functional importance: the anti-codon, which is responsible for specific mRNA codon recognition, and the 3' end, to which the tRNAs corresponding amino acid is attached (by aminoacyl-tRNA synthetases). tRNAs cope with the degeneracy of the genetic code in two manners: having more than one tRNA (with a specific anti-codon) for a particular amino acid; and 'wobble' base-pairing, i.e. permitting non-standard base-pairing at the 3rd anti-codon position. The record is from Rfam by way of RNAcentral. Lineage: Eukaryota; Metazoa; Chordata; Mammalia; Rodentia; Heteromyidae.